This 3083-nucleotide long non-coding RNA is filed under the name Homo sapiens (human). RNAcentral describes it as "HSALNT0154368". Lineage: Eukaryota; Metazoa; Chordata; Mammalia; Primates; Hominidae. The record is from RNAcentral.
CUCUGCAAACUAGAAGUCUGAGGCCAGGGUUUCAGCAUGGUCGGGUCCUGAUGAGGGCUCCCUUCCUGGCUUGCAGAUGGCCACCUUCUUGCUGUGUCUUCAUAUGGUGCGAGGAGAGAGAGAGAAGAGAGAAAGAAGAGAGAGAGAAGAGGAGAUAAAGAGAGAGAGAGAGAAGAGAGAGAGGAAAGAGAGAGAGAGAGAGAGAAAGCUCUCUAGUAUCUCUUAAGCACCCUAAAAUCCUUUUGGAUCAGGGCUCUGCCCUUAUGACGUCAUUUAGCCUUAAUUACUUCUGUAAAGGGCUUGUCUCCAAAUACAGUCACCUUGGGGGUUAGGGUUACAACUUUUGAAUUGGGGAGGGACACAACUCAGUCCACAGCAGGAGGGCAGAGGUAGGAUGAAGAUGGGAAAAUGGUAGCCCAGGAAGCACACCUGCCCUAGAACACACACUGCCAGAACAGCACCUAUUGGUAGCAAGAGCCUCUGCCAGCACUGGAGGAACUUUAAGCGCUUCCCCUAUCUGUGUCUCUAUUUCGCUGGUACACAAUGUAGGAGUAGUGCUGUUCUCAAAUAUCCCCAGGAUACAACCAAGCUCUCUUCCAAGGGCAAAUGUCCCAGGGGCUCAAAAAAAGAGCCAGAUGGUCUUUCAAACAAGCCCAUUCAAGGCUAAAAGAAGGGAGGGGAGGUAAUGCUAAGUUUAGAGACUCUAAAUCCUCCCUUGGGAGUGAGUGAGCCUGUCUCAGGCAGCCCAGGAGCAAGAGAAGAAGACACCUCCUGUCACUCUGAGCUGUAAGAGAAGAGAGAGGGGGCUGCAUGCCUCACCCACCCAAGUCCACCUCACUCCUAAAUACAAACUUGUGUAGUGUUUAACUCUAGAUGUAAUUAUGAGAGCCACUACCUUCUUGAAAAAGUUUUGGUCAUCAAAGCAAAGGCUGACUUCCAUUUCUUUCCAUGUUUAAUUAGGGAAAGGCUGUUUCCAUGAUGUGAGUCUGUGAGUCUCACCCACUGAGUCAGAUUGUCAUCCAUCCUGCAGAGUUUGACUGGAGCCCACAACACCCCUGCCGGGCCAUAAAAGGGUUCCCAGCAACAAGAACAAUGGAGAGGGGAGGGCUGAGGCUGGGACAGCAUAAAGAGUAGGAGGAGCCAAGAGGAGGACCUCUAGUUGGGACUAGAGUCGGGUAGGGUGGGAGAAGCCUGGGUGGGUGGGGGGGCUCCACGGAGGAGGUGCUAUCUGAGAUAAACUGAAAGAGGAAGAGGAGUUCACCUGGGGAGCAUUUAGGAAGUAGGACAGUGUUCCAAUCAAAAGUACAGAAGGGGCUAGGUGUGAUGAGCACAUGUCUAUAGUCCAAGCCACACAGGAAGCCAAGGAGGAAGGAUUGCUUGAACCCAGAAGGUCAAGGCUACAGUGAGCCAUGAUCAUGCCACUGCACUCAGCCUGGGCAACAGAGCAAGACCCUGUUUCAGAAAACAAAACGAAAGUGCAGAAGGGAGAUAAAAGCUGUUUCAGGUUGAGGGGGUCUAUGGUAAAGAGUGGGCUCUUUCCAGAGGGCAAUAGGGAGCAACUGGAAAGUUUGAGCAGGAGAGUGGCUUGAUGCAACUUGUUUUGUUUGCUCCUUUAUGUGUUUGGACGGGGUGGGAAUUGGACAGAAAAUACACUCAUGGUGCCAUUCAUCUACUUUUGUGCGUGCCUCCCUCCCCUUCUCUUUUCCCAUUUUGAUUUACUUUUUGUUUGAGGUAAAAGAGUUUUACUGUUCAGUUUCAGCAAGCCUCCAAGACACACAUAAAAUGAAAUUACAAUAGUUGUUUUGCAGAAUAGAACAAAGAGCAAAAAUUACCUAUCUCAUUUUAAAGCUAUUAUAACCUUGAUGCUUAAACCUGACAGGGAUGGCAUCAUAAAAUAAAAUGUGAGACAAAUUUCAAUGUGGCCGUAGCUUAUUUUUAUCUUAUACAAAAUGCUAGCAAUUUGAAUUCAGCAAUGCAUAAAAUACCUCAUGAUAGUAGUACCACAAGAAUAUUUCAAUAUAAGAUACCUGUUCUGAGCUGAAUUAUGUCCCCCCAGAAUUCAUAUGUUGAGGUUCUAACACCCAGUACCUCAGAAUAUGACUGUAUUUGGAGAUAGAGUCUUUAAAGUGGUAAUUAAGUUAAAGUGAGGUUAUUAGGGUGGGCCCUAAUCUGACUGGUGUCCUUGUAAGAAGAGGAAAUUUGGGCAGAGGCAUAGAUAUCUGCAGAGGAAACACCGUGUGAGGACACAGGGAGAAGACAAUCAUCUACAAGCCAAAGAGAGAGGCCUCAGAAGAAACCAAUCCUGCUGACACCUUGAUCUUCAGACGUCCAGCCACCAGAACCAUGAGAAAAUAAAUGUCUGUUCUUUAAGCCACUCAGUCUGUGGAACUUUGGUAGGGCAGCCCCAGCAAAGUACUAGAGUAAAAGACCAAAGUAGAAAACCUAUAUAAACAUAUCAGUAAAUGCAGAGAAAGCAGUGGCUACAAUUCAAUUCUUUUUAAGGCUUUCAAUGAAGGAUAACAUACCUACAAAAAAAGUCUACAAAUCCUCACUGUACAGUGAAUUUUCACCAGCUAAACACACCUGUGUAAUGAGCACUUGGAUCAAGAAACAGAACGCAAGAAGCAUCCCAGAGCCCUCCCCAUGUCCUCUUCAACACCAGUCGGGCUGUGUGGGCUGAAUUGUGUCCUUGUAAAGUUCAUUUGUUGAAUCCCUAAUCAUCAAAGUGACUGUAUUUGGAGACAGAGCCUCUAAAGAGGGUAAUUAAUGUUAAAGUUAUAAAGUGGGGUCCUGAUCCAAAAGGACUGGUGUCCUUAUAAGAAAAAGAAGACAGCAGCAAGCCACAAGAGAAAAUGCCAUGUGAGGACACAGGGAGAAGGUGGCCAUCUACCUACAAGCCAAGGACAGAGGUCUCAGGAGAAACCAACCCUGCUGACACUUUGAUCUUGGAAUUCCAGCCUCCAGAACCAUGAGAAAAUAAAUGUCUGGUUUAAGACACCCAGCCUAUGGUAUCUUGUGAUGGCAGCCCAAGCAGACUAAUGAAUGCUUCUCUCCUGCUUUAAUUAAUUUUUAUUACACACACA